GAAGAGAUAGCUCAGUUGGUUACAGCGUGGUGCUAAUAACACCAAGGUCACAGGUUCAAUCCCUGCUCACUGCA
This 74-nucleotide transfer RNA is filed under the name Pelecanus crispus (Dalmatian pelican). It matches the Rfam family "tRNA". Rfam says of the family: Transfer RNA (tRNA) molecules are approximately 80 nucleotides in length. Their secondary structure includes four short double-helical elements and three loops (D, anti-codon, and T loops). Further hydrogen bonds mediate the characteristic L-shaped molecular structure. tRNAs have two regions of fundamental functional importance: the anti-codon, which is responsible for specific mRNA codon recognition, and the 3' end, to which the tRNAs corresponding amino acid is attached (by aminoacyl-tRNA synthetases). tRNAs cope with the degeneracy of the genetic code in two manners: having more than one tRNA (with a specific anti-codon) for a particular amino acid; and 'wobble' base-pairing, i.e. permitting non-standard base-pairing at the 3rd anti-codon position. The record is from Rfam by way of RNAcentral. Lineage: Eukaryota; Metazoa; Chordata; Aves; Pelecaniformes; Pelecanidae.